RNAcentral lists this ribosomal RNA (497 nucleotides) under uncultured bacterium. RNAcentral describes it as "partial 16S ribosomal RNA". It matches the Rfam family "Bacterial small subunit ribosomal RNA", at positions 28 to 507 of the family's 1533-position model. The record is from RNAcentral.
GAUGAACGCUGGCGGCGUGCCUAAUACAUGCAAGUCGAGCGAACGGACGAGAAGCUUGCUUCUCUGAUGUUAGCGGCGGACGGGUGAGUAACACGUGGAUAACCUACCUAUAAGACUGGGAUAACUUCGGAAAACCGGAGCUAAUACCGGAUAAUAUUUUGAACCGCAUGGUUCAAAAGUGAAAGACGGUCUUGCUGUCACUUAUAGAUGGAUCCGCGCUGCAUUAGCUAGUUGGUAAGGUAACGGCUUACCAAGGCAACGAUGCAUAGCCGACCUGAGAGGGUGAUCGGCCACACUGGAACUGAGACACGGUCCGGACUCCUACGGGAGGCAGCAGUAGGGAAUCUUCCGCAAUGGGCGAAAGCCUGACGGAGCAACGCCGCGUGAGUGAUGAAGGUCUUCGGAUCGUAAAACUCUGUUAUUAGGGAAGAACAUAUGUGUAAGUAACUGUGCACAUCUUGACGGUACCUAAUCAGAAAGCCACGGCUAACUACGUG